GACGAACGCUGGCGGCGUGCCUAACACAUGCAAGUUGAGCGACGAACCAGGGCUUGCCCUGGGGCAAAGCAGCGAACGGGUGAGUAACACGUGGGUAACCUACCCCGAGAACCGGGACAACCCGAUGAAACUCGGGCUAAUACCGGACGUGCUCGCUGGACUUCGGUUCAGUUCGUAAAGGAAGCUUCGUCCUCCGUAUCGGGAGUGGCCCGCGGGCCUUUAGUUUGUUGGUGGGGUAACGGCCCACCAAGGCCGCGGUCGGUAGCUGGUCUGAGAGGGCGAUCAGCCACACUGGGACUGAGACACGGCCCAGACUCCUACGGGAGGCAGCAGUGGGGAAUCUUGCGCAAGGAGCGAAAGCGGGCCGCAGCAACGCCGCGUGGGGGAAGAAGGCCUUCGGGUUGUAAACCCCUUUGAGGAGGGAGGAAGGUUCGGCGGUGAAUAGCCGUCCGGUCUGACGGUACCUUAACAAGAAGCCCCGGCUAACUACGUG
RNAcentral lists this ribosomal RNA (493 nucleotides) under uncultured bacterium. RNAcentral's name for it is "partial 16S ribosomal RNA". It matches the Rfam family "Bacterial small subunit ribosomal RNA", at positions 28 to 507 of the family's 1533-position model. The record is from RNAcentral.